AGUAGCAAUACAACGUGGUGGCGACCGGCGCACGGGUGAGUAACGCGUAUGCAACCUACCUAUCAGAGGGGAAUAACCCGGCGAAAGUCGGACUAAUACCGCAUAAAACAGGGGCACCGCAUGGUGAUAUUUGUUAAAGAGAUUCGCUGAUAGAUGGGCAUGCGUUCCAUUAGGUAGUUGGUGAGGUAACGGCUCACCAAGCCGACGAUGGAUAGGGGAACUGAGAGGUUGGUCCCCCACACUGGUACUGAGACACGGACCAGACUCCUACGGGAGGCAGCAGUGAGGAAUAUUGGUCAAUGGGCGGGAGCCUGAACCAGCCAAGUCGCCGUGAAGGAAGAAGGAUCUAUGGUUCGUAAACUUCUUUUGCAGGGGAAUAAAGUGCAGGACGUGUCCUGUUUUGUAUGUACCCUGAGAAUAAGGAUCGGCUAACUCCGUGCCAGCCGCCGC
RNAcentral lists this ribosomal RNA (450 nucleotides) under uncultured bacterium. Its description in RNAcentral is "bacterial SSU rRNA". It matches the Rfam family "Bacterial small subunit ribosomal RNA", at positions 75 to 518 of the family's 1533-position model. The record is from RNAcentral.